This 557-nucleotide ribosomal RNA is filed under the name Morchella arbutiphila. Its description in RNAcentral is "partial 28S ribosomal RNA". It matches the Rfam family "Eukaryotic large subunit ribosomal RNA", at positions 63 to 629 of the family's 3401-position model. Lineage: Eukaryota; Fungi; Ascomycota; Pezizomycetes; Pezizales; Morchellaceae. The record is from RNAcentral.
AACCAACAGGGAUUGCCUCAGUAACGGCGAGUGAAGCGGCAAAAGCUCAAAUUUUAAAGCUGGCAUCUUCGGUGUCCGCGUUGUAAUUUUGUGAGGCAUCUCCGGGUAGGGCGCCGGCCUAAGUUCCUUGGAACAGGACGUCACAGAGGGUGAGAAUCCCGUGCUUGGCUGGCUGUCCCCGUCCAUGUGAGGUGUCUUCGACGAGUCGAGUUGUUUGGGAAUGCAGCUCAAAAUGGGUGGUAAAUUUCAUCUAAAGCUAAAUAUUGGUGGGAGACCGAUAGCGCACAAGUAGAGUGAUCGAAAGAUGAAAAGCACUUUGAAAAUAGAGUUAAAAAGUACGUGAAAUUGUUGAAAGGGAAGCGCUUGAGACCAGACUUCGGUAGGGGGUGAUCAGCCGUCCUUCUGGGCGGUGCACUUGCCCCCCUCCGGGCCAGCAUCGGUUGAGGCGGCGGGAUAAAGGUCCCGGGAAUGUGACUCCUCUCAAGGGAGUGUUUAUAGCCCGGGUGAAUGCCGCCAGCUUCGACCGAGGACCGCGCCCGCAAGGGUUAGGAUGCUUG